AUUGAACGCUGGCGGCAUGCCUUACACAUGCAAGUCGAACGGCAGCACGGGUGCUUGCACCUGGUGGCGAGUGGCGAACGGGUGAGUAAUACAUCGGAACAUGUCCUGUAGUGGGGGAUAGCCCGGCGAAAGCCGGAUUAAUACCGCAUACGAUCUACGGAUGAAAGCGGGGGACCUUCGGGCCUCGCGCUAUAGGGUUGGCCGAUAGCUGAUUAGCUCGUUGGUGGGGUAAAGGCCUACCAAGGCGACGAUCAGUAGCUGGUCUGAGAGGACGACCAGCCACACUGGGACUGAGACACGGCCCAGACUCCUACGGGAGGCAGCAGUGGGGAAUUUUGGACAAUGGGCGAAAGCCUGAUCCAGCAAUGCCGCGUGUGUGAAGAAGGCCUUCGGGUUGUAAAGCACUUUUGUCCGGAAAGAAAUCCUUGGCUCUAAUACAGUCGGGGGAUGACGGUACCGGAAGAAUAAGCACCGGCUAACUACGUG
RNAcentral lists this ribosomal RNA (486 nucleotides) under uncultured bacterium. RNAcentral's name for it is "partial 16S ribosomal RNA". It matches the Rfam family "Bacterial small subunit ribosomal RNA", at positions 30 to 507 of the family's 1533-position model. The record is from RNAcentral.